RNAcentral lists this ribosomal RNA (907 nucleotides) under uncultured bacterium. RNAcentral describes it as "bacterial SSU rRNA". It matches the Rfam family "Bacterial small subunit ribosomal RNA", at positions 33 to 931 of the family's 1533-position model. The record is from RNAcentral.
ACGCUGGCGGCAGGCUUAACACAUGCAAGUCGAACGGUAGCAGGAGAAAGCUUGCUUUCUUGCUGACGAGUGGCGGACGGGUGAGUAAUGCUUGGGAAUCUGGCUUAUGGAGGGGGAUAACUACGGGAAACUGUAGCUAAUACCGCGUAGUGUCGAGAGACGAAAGUGCGGGACCGCAAGGCCGCAUGUCAUGAGAUGAGCCCAAGUGGGAUUAGGUAGUUGGUGGGGUAAGGGCCUACCAAGCCUGCGAUCUCUAGCUGGUCUGAGAGGAUGGCCAGCCACACUGGAACUGAGACACGGUCCAGACUCCUACGGGAGGCAGCAGUGGGGAAUAUUGCGCAAUGGGGGGAGCCCUGACGCAGCCAUGCCGCGUGAAUGAAGAAGGCCUUCGGGUUGUAAAGUUCUUUCGGUAUUGAGGAAGGUUGAUGUGUUAAUAGUACAUCAAAUUGACGUUAAAUACAGAAGAAGCACCGGCUAACUCCGUGCCAGCAGCCGCGGUAAUACGGAGGGUGCGAGCGUUAAUCGGAAUAACUGGGCGUAAAGGGCACGCAGGCGGUUAUUUAAGUGAGGUGUGAAAGCCCCGGGCUUAACCUGGGAAUUGCAUUUCAGACUGGGUAACUAGAGUACUUUAGGGAGGGGUAGAAUUCCACGUGUAGCGGUGAAAUGCGUAGAGAUGUGGAGGAAUACCGAAGGCGAAGGCAGCCCCUUGGGAAUGUACUGACGCUCAUGUGCGAAAGCGUGGGGAGCAAACAGGAUUAGAUACCCUGGUAGUCCACGCUGUAAACGCUGUCGAUUUGGGGAUUGGGCUUAAAGCUUGGUGCCCGUAGCUAACGUGAUAAAUCGACCGCCUGGGGAGUACGGCCGCAAGGUUAAAACUCAAAUGAAUUGACGGGGGCCCGCACAAGCG